Molecule: ribosomal RNA, 711 nt
Filed under: Streptococcus sp. HGFM117
Lineage: Bacteria; Bacillati; Bacillota; Bacilli; Lactobacillales; Streptococcaceae
Description: bacterial SSU rRNA
Rfam family: Bacterial small subunit ribosomal RNA
Source: RNAcentral
AGUAGGACCCAGUUUAUACCGUAGCUUGCUACACCAUAGACUGUGAGUUGCGAACGGGUGAGUAACGCGUAGGUAACCUGCCUAUUAGAGGGGGAUAACUAUUGGAAACGAUAGCUAAUACCGCAUAACAGUAUGUAACACAUGUUAGAUGCUUGAAAGAUGCAAUUGCAUCGCUAGUAGAUGGACCUGCGUUGUAUUAGCUAGUAGGUAGGGUAAUGGCCUACCUAGGCGACGAUACAUAGCCGACCUGAGAGGGUGAUCGGCCACACUGGGACUGAGACACGGCCCAGACUCCUACGGGAGGCAGCAGUAGGGAAUCUUCGGCAAUGGGGGGAACCCUGACCGAGCAACGCCGCGUGAGUGAAGAAGGUUUUCGGAUCGUAAAGCUCUGUUGUUAAGGAAGAACGAGUGUGAGAAUGGAAAGUUCAUACUGUGACGGUACUUAACCAGAAAGGGACGGCUAACUACGUGCCAGCAGCCGCGGUAAUACGUAGGUCCCGAGCGUUGUCCGGAUUUAUUGGGCGUAAAGCGAGCGCAGGCGGUUAGAAAAGUCUGAAGUGAAAGGCAGUGGCUCAACCAUUGUAGGCUUUGGAAACUGUUUAACUUGAGUGCAGAAGGGGAGAGUGGAAUUCCAUGUGUAGCGGUGAAAUGCGUAGAUAUAUGGAGGAACACCGGUGGCGAAAGCGGCUCUCUGGUCUGUAACUGACGCUG